UAGCUCGUCAGGCUCAUAACCUGAAGGCCGCAGGUUCAAAUCCUGCCCCCGCAA
This 54-nucleotide transfer RNA is filed under the name Gillisella vitis. Its description in RNAcentral is "Agrobacterium vitis tRNA-Met". It matches the Rfam family "tRNA", at positions 19 to 71 of the family's 71-position model. From Rfam's summary of the family: Transfer RNA (tRNA) molecules are approximately 80 nucleotides in length. Their secondary structure includes four short double-helical elements and three loops (D, anti-codon, and T loops). The record is from RNAcentral. Lineage: Bacteria; Pseudomonadati; Pseudomonadota; Alphaproteobacteria; Hyphomicrobiales; Rhizobiaceae.